RNAcentral lists this ribosomal RNA (497 nucleotides) under uncultured bacterium. RNAcentral's name for it is "partial 16S ribosomal RNA". It matches the Rfam family "Bacterial small subunit ribosomal RNA", at positions 28 to 507 of the family's 1533-position model. The record is from RNAcentral.
GACGAACGCCGGCGGCGUGCCUAAUACAUGCAAGUUGAGCGCUGAAGGUUGGUACUUGUACCAACUGGAUGAGCAGCGAACGGGUGAGUAACGCGUGGGGAAUCUGCCUUUGAGCGGGGGACAACAUUUGGAAACGAAUGCUAAUACCGCAUAAAAACUUUAAACACAAGUUUUAAGUUUGAAAGAUGCAAUUGCAUCACUCAAAGAUGAUCCCGCGUUGUAUUAGCUAGUUGGUGAGGUAAAGGCUCACCAAGGCGAUGAUACAUAGCCGACCUGAGAGGGUGAUCGGCCACAUGUGGACUGAGACACGGCCCAAACUCCUACGGGAGGCAGCAGUAGGGAAGCUUCGGCAAUGGACGAAAGUCUGACCGAGCAACGCCGCGUGAGUGAAGAAGGUUUUCGGAUCGUAAAACUCUGUUGGUAGAGAGGAACGUUGGUGAGAGUGGAAAGCUCAUCAAGUGACGGUAACUACCCAGAAAGGGACGGCUAGCUACGUG